CCUACGGGAGGCAGCAGUGAGGAAUAUUGGUCAAUGGGCGAGAGCCUGAACCAGCCAAGUAGCGUGAGGGAUGACGGCUCUAUGGGUUGUAAACCUCUUUUAUAAGGGAAUAAAACGAGGCACGUGUGCCUUUUUGCAUGUACUUUAUGAAUAAGGAUCGGCUAACUCCGUGCCAGCAGCCGCGGUAAUACGGAGGUUCCGAGCGUUUUCCGGAUUUAUUGGGUUUAAAGGGAGCGUAGUGGGGUUGUUAAGUCAGUUGGGACAGUUUGCGGCUCAACCGUAAAAUUGCAAUUGAUACUGGCAGUCUUGAGUACAGUUGAGGUAAGCGGAAUGCGUGGUGUAGCGGUGAAAUGCUUAGAUAUCACGAAGAACCCCGAUUGCGAAGGCAGCCUACUAAACUGUGACUGACACUGAUGCUCGAAAGCGUGGGGAUCAAACAGGAUUAGAUACCCGAGUAGUC
Molecule: ribosomal RNA, 460 nt
Filed under: uncultured bacterium
Lineage: Bacteria
Description: partial 16S ribosomal RNA
Rfam family: Bacterial small subunit ribosomal RNA
Source: RNAcentral